RNAcentral lists this ribosomal RNA (224 nucleotides) under uncultured bacterium. RNAcentral describes it as "partial 16S ribosomal RNA". It matches the Rfam family "Bacterial small subunit ribosomal RNA", at positions 29 to 229 of the family's 1533-position model. The record is from RNAcentral.
AACGAACGCUGGCGGCGUGCCUAACACAUGCAAGUCGAGCGAGAAAAAGGGGGGCGAACUACCCUCGAGUACAGCGGCGCACGGGUGAGUAACACGUAGGUGAUCUACCCUCCGAGCUCGGAAUAACCUGCCGAAAGGUGGGCUAAUACCGGAUAUGACCACGGGAGUCUCGGCUCCUGCGGUGAAAGAUGGCCUCUACUUGUAAGCUAUCACUCAAGGAUGAG